UACGUAGGGUGCGAGCGUUGUCCGGAAUUAUUGGGCGUAAAGAGCGCGCAGGCGGUCGUUCAAGUCGAGUGUGAAAGCCCCCGGCUCAACUGGGGAGGGUCAUUCGAUACUGAUCGACUCGAAGGCAGGAGAGGGAAGUGGAAUUCCCGGUGUAGUGGUGAAAUGCGUAGAUAUCGGGAGGAACACCAGUGGCGAAGGCGACUUCCUGGCCUGUUCUUGACGCUGAGGCGCGAAAGCUAGGGGAGCAAACGGG
RNAcentral lists this ribosomal RNA (253 nucleotides) under uncultured bacterium. Its description in RNAcentral is "partial 16S ribosomal RNA". It matches the Rfam family "Bacterial small subunit ribosomal RNA", at positions 524 to 776 of the family's 1533-position model. The record is from RNAcentral.